GUCGAGAAUUUUUCACAAUGGGGGAAACCCUGAUGGAGCGACGCCGCGUGGAGGAUGAAGGCCCUCGGGUUGUAAACUCCUGUCAUGCGGGAACAAGAAAGUGAUAGUACCGCAAGAGGAAGAGACGGCUAACUCUGUGCCAGCAGCCGCGGUAAUACAGAGGUCUCGAGCGUUGUUCGGAUUCAUUGGGCGUAAAGGGUGCGUAGGUGGCGAUGUAAGUCUGGUGUGAAAUCUCGGGGCUCAACCCCGAAAUUGCAUUGGAUACUGCGUUGCUUGAGGAUUGUAGAGGAGAGUGGAAUUCACGGUGUAGCAGUGAAAUGCGUAGAUAUCGUGAGGAAGACCAGUUGCGAAGGCGACUCUCUGGGCAACUCCUGACACUGAGGCACGAAGGCUAGGGGAGCAAACGGGAUUAGAUACCCGAGUAGUCC
RNAcentral lists this ribosomal RNA (428 nucleotides) under uncultured bacterium. Its description in RNAcentral is "partial 16S ribosomal RNA". It matches the Rfam family "Bacterial small subunit ribosomal RNA", at positions 354 to 796 of the family's 1533-position model. The record is from RNAcentral.